AUAGACGCAUAUCGGGUGCUUCUGCUUAGAUCGUGAAAUUAAUUUAAACGUAAUUUAAUCGAGGGAUUGCUUUAUAUGCUUGCAGAUUAGAAAUGGUAUUAAAGAUAUUCACAAGGCGAUUAUCGUCGAGACUACGUUCCCGAUUGAUUAUCAGUUGAAAAAUGUAUCUUUGAUUUAUUUACCUCGUGAUUUAACUUUUAGAGCUGGCUCAUUAAUGCGGAUUAGCUGCGAACAUUAUUUAUCGAUCAUUUCCAUAUUGACUGGAUACGUGAUUUUGCAAAUUCAAGCUCAAUUGGUUUGGCAUUAUGAUUUUUAAUGAAAACGUCCAAACAAGCUAAUGGUCUCUAGAUUUCAGAAUUCAAACAAGAACAAAGCAGAGGAAGAGACAGUGAGAAUUUAUCCAGAGACAGUAAAGUUUUUAU
Molecule: long non-coding RNA, 422 nt
Organism: Planococcus citri (citrus mealybug)
Lineage: Eukaryota; Metazoa; Arthropoda; Insecta; Hemiptera; Pseudococcidae
Exons: 4
Source: RefSeq, a predicted model, not a curated record